RNAcentral lists this ribosomal RNA (281 nucleotides) under uncultured Geobacter sp. RNAcentral describes it as "partial 16S ribosomal RNA". It matches the Rfam family "Bacterial small subunit ribosomal RNA", at positions 1100 to 1382 of the family's 1533-position model. Lineage: Bacteria; Pseudomonadati; Thermodesulfobacteriota; Desulfuromonadia; Geobacterales; Geobacteraceae. The record is from RNAcentral.
AACCCUUGUCCUUAGUUACCAGCACGUUAUGUGGGCACUCUAAGGAGACUGCCGGUGCAAACCGGAGGAAGGUGGGGAUGACGUCAAGUCAUCAUGGCCCUUACUCCGGGGCUACACACGUGCUACAAUGGCCGGUACAAAGGGUUGCGAAGCCGUGAGGUGGAGCGAAUCUCAAAAAGCCGGCCUCAGUUCGGAUUGGAGGCUGCAACUCGCCUCCAUGAAGUCGGAAUCGCUAGUAACCGCAGAUCAGCUACGUUGCGGUGAAUACGUUCCCGGGCCUU